UGCACCAGUAGCUCAGUGGAUAGAGCAACGGCCUCCGGAGCCGUGUGCGGUGGUUCGAUUCCACUCUGGUGCAU
RNAcentral lists this transfer RNA (74 nucleotides) under uncultured Coprococcus sp. RNAcentral's name for it is "tRNA-Arg(ccg)". It matches the Rfam family "tRNA". Rfam says of the family: Transfer RNA (tRNA) molecules are approximately 80 nucleotides in length. Their secondary structure includes four short double-helical elements and three loops (D, anti-codon, and T loops). The record is from RNAcentral. Lineage: Bacteria; Bacillati; Bacillota; Clostridia; Lachnospirales; Lachnospiraceae.